UAGAAGGCUUGUGAUGUAUUAAAUAGCUGAACGCUGGAAGGAAAAGAUAAACAUGCUAAUCACGUUCAAGAGGAGAAAAAAGUGAAAAGUUCUCCUUUCUAUCUUCAUACGUCACCAGCAGAGUUACCUCAAGGACACCUAACUGCACAAGGUGAUCUCCUUAACCAGACAGGACUCAUGCCGGAUUACAACAAACUAUGCAAAGGGAAAAUGAAGGAAAACCUCAGCGAUUUCUUGACUUCAGUGGAAGGUAAGAUCGAUGUAAAAACCAUAAGCGAUGCUGAGGGACUAACUGGAUUGUUAAGGAAGCCUCCCUCCAUGCAGCGAGACUUGAACCCGCUUUCCUACGAACAGAUCUCAGCUUUCAAGUUGCAACCAGGGAGGCUGGGGAGAUGUAAAAAAUUCACUUUCAUCCAGUCACCGCAAGAAGAAGAAGAGGAGGGAUCAUGAAGACGGUGAAGGUAAGAAGCACAGGCGGAAGAAAGAAAAAGCGGGAAAAUCACGAUGUCACCUGAAGCGUUACUCCUGAAGCGUUACUCCUGUAGCGCUGGGAGAGAAUGCUGAUCUGCGUUAAAGCAGUAUUGAAAUAAUUAAUAACGAUUUUCUAAAGUGAGGUCGGGUCUAAUUGCUGUAUUAUUGCACAGCUUACCUCAAACAAUGACAUAUCGGGUAUUUUUGUAUUUCAGAUGAAAAAUCCACCUUUUUUUGUUGCAAAAUUUCCACAUUUAUUUUGGCCUAAAUGGAGUAUUUAGUACUCAGAGUACUUCAUAAUGUUGAGAAUGUCAUGAUCUGACCCAAUCAGAAUGUAAUCUUAAAUCUUAUUGUAUUUCAGUAUUCAAAGAUUUACUGUAUCAAUGAAGUAUGGUCAAAUUCCUUUUGGCAUAAUGCCAAAUAUAUUCUGAUUAACUGUAAUCCUCUACCAGAUCUACAUGAGUCCUUGUUUUGCAAUAUGAGCCAAUAAUAAACGGGUGUUUGACUGUACAAAUUUUAUUUAUUCCAUUAUUACACCAUUAGUAAUUAUUACACCAUUAGUAAUGGUUCUCUACACAUUGUAAUUGAUUACAUAUCGAUCUACGGUCGCAGGAAAGAAUACCAAUGUAUUAUGUUCUAAGUGUGCUCCUU
Molecule: long non-coding RNA, 1122 nt
Organism: Bolinopsis microptera
Lineage: Eukaryota; Metazoa; Ctenophora; Tentaculata; Lobata; Bolinopsidae
Exons: 4
Source: RefSeq, a predicted model, not a curated record